GCGGUCAAAUUUGGUCCCGCAGUUGGCCGUGAUGAUAGCGGCAUGAAAGGAGCCCAGAGAAGGCCUGCUUCUCUCUCUCUCUCGUGCAAUAAAGAUCUGAACCCAAAGUUUUUAUUCUGGAUCACCUCCACCAGUAAAUGUUACAGUGGUCCCCCAGGAGCCCAGCCUUCUCUUCUUUAGAGAGGAAAUGACGAGAUGACCCCAUUUGAAACGAAGCCUAAUCACCGGUUUUUGCAUCCACCGACUACUUUGGCGAGGAAGGGGCAAAGUUUCAGUUUUUUUUUUUUUUUCAAAAAAUGUGCCACA
RNAcentral lists this long non-coding RNA (306 nucleotides) under Elaeis guineensis (African oil palm). Its description in RNAcentral is "long non-coding RNA (EGUI_LNC030651)". The record is from RNAcentral. Lineage: Eukaryota; Viridiplantae; Streptophyta; Magnoliopsida; Arecales; Arecaceae.